Molecule: non-coding RNA, 125 nt
Organism: Mycena floridula
Lineage: Eukaryota; Fungi; Basidiomycota; Agaricomycetes; Agaricales; Mycenaceae
Source: the annotation of a GenBank genome assembly
GGUCAGAUGGCCGAGCGGUCUAAGGCGCCAGACUAAGGAUCAGCAUCGCUUCGAUGCUCCAAUAGCAGAGUGACUUCUGUUAUCUGGUCACUCCGGUGGCGUGGGUUCGAAUCCCACUCUGAUCA